AUACGGAGGGUGCGAGCGUUAAUCGGAAUUACUGGGCGUAAAGCGCGCGUAGGCGGCCAGGUCAGUCGGAUGUGAAAGCCCCGGGCUCAACCUGGGAAUUGCACUCGAUACUGCAGAGCUAGAGUAUGGUAGAGGGAAGUGGAAUUUCCGGUGUAGCGGUGAAAUGCGUAGAUAUAGGAAGGAACACCAGUGGCGAAGGCGACUUCCUGGGCCAAUACUGACGCUGAGGUGCGAAAGCGUGGGGAGCAAACAGGAUUAGAAACCCGAGUAGUCC
RNAcentral lists this ribosomal RNA (274 nucleotides) under uncultured bacterium. RNAcentral describes it as "partial 16S ribosomal RNA". It matches the Rfam family "Bacterial small subunit ribosomal RNA", at positions 523 to 796 of the family's 1533-position model. The record is from RNAcentral.